Molecule: ribosomal RNA, 29 nt
Filed under: Agroathelia rolfsii
Lineage: Eukaryota; Fungi; Basidiomycota; Agaricomycetes; Amylocorticiales; Amylocorticiaceae
Description: Athelia rolfsii partial 18S ribosomal RNA
Source: RNAcentral
CCACCUGCAGUAAUUGCCGGACGAUCUUA